GAUGAACGCUGGCGGCGUGCCUAAUACAUGCAAGUCGAGCGAAUGGAUUAAGAGCUUGCUCUUAUGAAGUUAGCGGCGGACGGGUGAGUAACACGUGGGUAACCUGCCCAUAAGACUGGGAUAACUCCGGGAAACCGGGGCUAAUACCGGAUAACAUUUUGAACCGCAUGGUUCGAAAUUGAAAGGCGACUUCGGCUGUCACUUAUAGAUGGACCCGCGUCGCAUUAGCUAGUUGGUGAGGUAACGGCUCACCAAGGCAACGAUGCGUAGCCGACCUGAGAGGGUGAUCGGCAACACUGGGACUGAGACACGGCCCAGACUCCUACGGGAGGCAGCAGUAGGGAAUCUUCCGCAAUGGACGAAAGUCUGACGGAGCAACGCCGCGUGAGUGAUGAAGGCUUUCGGGUCGUAAAACUCUGUUGUUAGGGAAGAACAAGUGCUAGUUGAAUAAGCUGACACCUUGACGGUACCUAACCAGAAAGCCACGGCUAACUACGUGCCAGCCGCCGUAAUAC
This 515-nucleotide ribosomal RNA is filed under the name uncultured bacterium. RNAcentral's name for it is "partial 16S ribosomal RNA". It matches the Rfam family "Bacterial small subunit ribosomal RNA", at positions 28 to 526 of the family's 1533-position model. The record is from RNAcentral.